Long non-coding RNA from Callithrix jacchus (white-tufted-ear marmoset), 1132 nucleotides. RefSeq lists it as uncharacterized. The record is from RefSeq and is a predicted model, not a curated record. NCBI's taxonomy places the organism in Eukaryota, Metazoa, Chordata, Mammalia, Primates, Cebidae.
CAGGGAUAGAAACUUGAACUUUCUGGAAAUAAUCACCUUACUUGUGGGGAGGAAUAUGUGAAGAAUCUACUAGAAGGAUCAAGGAUUGGUGUACAUAAUCCAGGCUGGUGUGGAUUUGAUGGUGGUCAUAAUAUUUGCAAAGAAGACAGACAGAUCCCUGGAAAUCUCAUCAGAGAGGGUGGAGAAGAUGGGGGAGAGGUCUUGCAGGAUGUCAGGAUUUGAGCAUCUCAGAUACCCUGCAAACCUCUUCCACAUUCAGAAGAAACCAUCAUGAAAAUCUAUGCUUGGAGAUUUCACUUAGACCUCACCUGUGUCCCCAACGCCCUCAAACAUGAACUCUUGCCACGCCAGCUAUUCAUUGCUUCAGACCCUGCCUUAUCCUACACAUAUUGGCUUAAGAAGCAGUGUGCUUGGCCAGGCGCGGUGGCUCACGCCUGUAAUCCCAGCACUUUGGGAGGCCAAGGCGGGUGGAUCAUGAGGUCAAGAGAUUGAGACCAUCCUGGUCAACAUGGUGAAACCCCGUCUCUACUAAAAAUACAAAAAAAUUAGCUGGGCAUGGUGGUACAUGCCUGUAAUCCCAGCUACUCAGGAGGCUAAGGCAGGAGAAUUGCUUGAACCCAGGAGGCGGAGGUUGCCCUGAGCCAAGAUCAUGCCAUUGCACUCCAGCCUGAGCAACAAAAGUGAGACUCCAACUCAAAAAAAAAAAAAAAGGAAAAAGAAGAGGAAGAGGAGGAGGAGGAGGAACAAGAAGAAGAGGAGAAGCAGCGUGGAGUCUCAGAAGUUCCGGAGAAAUCAUCCACAAUUAACCACACAGUUCGUCCAGCUCUGAGCCUGGGGCUGAGACAUUUGCCACUUCCUGUCCCAUUGGCGCUCCUAUAAGCAUGUCACUGCCCAGUUUCACAGCUCAGACUCCACUGCAGUGGAGUAGAACUUGACGAGUGAGCGUGAGGGUAGAGACAAGAGCCCUGGGGUGAAUGUGAACUCCAUGGUCUCUCACUCUAGUUUCAGUUCUGCUGCUAUUUCCUCGCGGCCUUGGAAAAGUAAGUAAACUUCCUCCACUUGUUCCUCGGCUUUUCCCAUUUAUACAUAAGGUGUUUAGAUCUGGUAAUCCCUUUGACGUGCUAAAAGUAAA